GAUGAACGCUGACAGAAUGCUUAACACAUGCAAGUCUAUGAGAAGAUCUACUUCGGUAGAAGGUUAUCAUGGCGGACGGGUGAGUAACGCGUAAAGAACUUGCCUCUUAGACUGGGAUAACAGAUGGAAACGUCUGAUAAGACUAGAUAUAAUAAUGACAUGGCAUCAUGUUGUUAUGAAAGGUAACACUAAGAGAGAGCUUUGCGUCCUAUUAGUUAGUUGGUGAGGUAAUGGCUCACCAAGACGAUGAUAGGUAGCCGGCCUGAGAGGGUGAACGGCCACAAGGGGACUGAGAUACGGCCCUUACUCUUACGGGAGGCAGCAGUGGGGAAUAUUGGACAAUGGAGGAAACUCUGAUCCAGCAAUUCUGUGUGCACGAUGAAGGUUUUCGGAUCGUAAAGUGCUUUCAGUAGGGAAGAAGAAAGUGACGGUACCUACAGAAGAAGCGACGGCUAAAUACGUGCCAGCAGCCGCGGUAAAACGU
RNAcentral lists this ribosomal RNA (484 nucleotides) under uncultured bacterium. RNAcentral's name for it is "bacterial SSU rRNA". It matches the Rfam family "Bacterial small subunit ribosomal RNA", at positions 28 to 528 of the family's 1533-position model. The record is from RNAcentral.